Odocoileus virginianus texanus is the source of this 2256-nucleotide non-coding RNA. The record is from RefSeq and is a predicted model, not a curated record. NCBI's taxonomy places the organism in Eukaryota, Metazoa, Chordata, Mammalia, Artiodactyla, Cervidae.
GAGGCCCAGGCGGCGGCGGUGGCGGUAGCAGCAGCAGCAGCAGCAGCUCUCGGGUUGCGGUGAAGAGUGUCAGCCACUAGCGUGGAUCAGAGGCCUAAAGGGCAAGGAAAUAAAGUUUCAGUACAAAACGGUUCGAUUCAUCAAAAAGAUGCUGUAAAUGAUGAUGAUUUUGAGCCAUACUUAAGUAGCCAGACAAAUCAGAAUAACAGAUAUCCACCAAUGUCAGAUCCAUACAUGCCUAGUUACUAUGCUCCAUCCAUUGGAUUUCCAUAUUCACUUGGGGAAGCAGCAUGGUCCACAGCUGGAGACCAGCCUAUGCCAUAUCUGACAACCUAUGGACAGAUGAGUAAUGGAGAGCAUCAUUAUAUACCGGACGGUGUGUUUAGUCAGCCUGGGGCAUUAGGAAAUACCCCUCCAUUUCUUGGUCAACAUGGAUUUAACUUUUUUCCUGGUAAUGCUGAUUUCUCUACAUGGGGGACAAGUGGAUCUCAGGGACAAUCAACACAAAGUUCUGCUUAUAGUAGCAGUUAUGGUUAUCCACCUAGUUCUCUUGGGAGAGCUAUUACUGAUGGACAGGCUGGAUUUGGCAAUGAUACUUUGAGCAAGGUGCCUGGCAUUAGCAGUAUCGAGCAAGGCAUGACAGGACUGAAAAUUGGUGGUGACCUGACCGCUGCAGUGACGAAAACUGUAGGAACAGCAUUGAGCAGCAGUGGUAUGACCAGCAUCGCAACCAAUAGCGUGCCCCCAGUUAGCAGUGCGGCUCCGAAACCCACCUCCUGGGCAGCCAUUGCCAGAAAGCCCGCCAAACCUCAACCGAAACUUAAACCCAAGGGCAAUGUGGGCAUCGGGGGUUCCGCUGUGCCGCCACCUCCUAUAAAACACAACAUGAAUAUUGGAACUUGGGAUGAAAAGGGGUCAGUGGUAAAGGCUCCACCAACCCAACCAGUUCUGCCUCCUCAGACUAUAAUCCAGCAGCCUCAGCCAUUAAUUCAGCCACCACCCCUGGUGCAGAGCCAACUGCCUCAACCGCAGCCUCAGCCGCCACAAGCGCAGCAGCCGCAAGGACCUCAGCCACAGGCCCAGCCUCACCAAGUGCAGCCCCCGCAGCCGCAGCUGCAGAACCGCUGGGUGGCGCCCCGGAACAGGGGGGCCGGCUUCAACCAGAACAAUGGAGCGGGCAGUGAAAACUUUGGUCUAGGUGUCCUUCCUGUCAGCACUUCCCCGUCGAGUGUGGAAGUGCAUCCCGUGCUGGAAAAGCUAAAGGCCAUAAACAACUACAAUCCCAAAGACUUUGACUGGAACCUGAAGAACGGACGUGUGUUUAUAAUUAAGAGCUAUUCUGAGGACGACAUACACCGUUCCAUUAAGUACUCUAUCUGGUGUAGUACUGAGCAUGGGGAUAAGCGUUUGGAUGCGGCUUACCGUUCCCUGAAUGGGAAAGGCCCACUCUAUUUGCUCUUCAGUGUGAAUGGCAGCGGACACUUCUGCGGAGUGGCUGAGAUGAAGUCUGUUGUGGACUAUAAUGCGUAUGCUGGUGUCUGGUCUCAGGAUAAGUGGAAGGGCAAAUUUGAAGUUAAAUGGAUCUUUGUCAAAGAUGUCCCCAAUAACCAAUUACGGCAUAUUCGCUUAGAAAAUAAUGACAACAAACCAGUUACCAAUUCAAGGGACACUCAAGAGGUACCCCUAGAAAAAGCUAAGCAAGUGCUUAAAAUAAUUGCUACUUUCAAGCAUACCACCUCAAUCUUUGAUGACUUUGCACAUUAUGAAAAGCGUCAAGAAGAGGAGGAAGCCAUGCGUAGGGAGAGAAAUAGAAACAAACAAUAACCCUAUGAAGAUGUCCUGUUAGAAUUACAACACUAAUGAUGUAGACUCUGGAAAUGCCUAAUAAGUCAAAGAAGGCGUUAUUAAAGCUUUUUUCUGCUUAAGGUGACAUCUCUGAACUCUAAUAACACAGAAUGGACUCUUCUUGUAAUGGUUUUCAUCAGCGCGUCUGCCCUUACACUCACCAAACACACUUGAGAACUGUAACUCUGUCAAGCACUUUCUGUCCUGAGGCUUUUACCAGUAUCUGCUGUCUUUUGUAAUUAUGCAUCCUAGCUAAGGCACAGAAGACUGAAUGAAUGCAAGGAUUCAUUAACUCUUUGAAUUUGUUAAAUACUAACAGUUAACCAUUAGAAGUGGUUCAAUGAUGUAAGAGUCACACUGCUUCAACUUUUUCUUUGUUGUAGUUUUUAAAUUGUCAAUUUUUAGCUAUUU